RNAcentral lists this long non-coding RNA (1098 nucleotides) under Gallus gallus (chicken). The record is from RNAcentral. Lineage: Eukaryota; Metazoa; Chordata; Aves; Galliformes; Phasianidae.
CGAACGUGAAGGCCGAGUGGGAGAAACCUGAUUCCUGGAGAUAGCGAUACACCAAGAAAUUCACUUCGUCACUGGUUAUGCUCAUCUUAGCCCAACCUCAAUAUGAUGAGGUUUAUGAGAAGUGUGAUCCACGCUCUGGCCGUGAGACCCCUGAGCUGCUGAAUGCUGCUCCUCACAGGCUGCUGUCGGGAGUCUGGGGGUUGGAGUUAGCAUGGAGAUCACCACAUCUGACAGCGGAGAGGGUCAGGUGCAAGUGCAGUCAAGCUCCCCAGUUUCCCCCUAGAUUUUCCCUUCAGGCCAGUUUUAUCCUUAGGUACCUGCGCGCGGGCGCUGCGGGCGCGGCUCCGCUCCGGGGGCGGCGGGAGAGCCUGGGGCGGACUUUCCCUCACUUGCCGCGCAUGGUGCAACUCCUGGUGCCGGGGUCCCGGCCAGCCCGCCAGCAGCCUGCGAACCCCCCGCGCCGCCGCCGCCGCGCACGCCUCCUCCUCCCCCUCGGCGCACACAAGGAAGUCCCGGAGAGUGGGAAGGGGAGAGCGGAAAGUUUUGGGGCGGAAUGGCGGCCGCGGGCGCGCGGCGGCGGCGGGAGCGGCGCUGAGGGGAGCGGGCCGCGCCCGGAGCCCGCCGCCGCCGCCACUGCCGGGCGGGAAGGACGGGGGCGGGCGGCGGGGCGAGGAGGGCCGGUGGGGGGGCGAGCGGCCGCGCCCCCGCCCCCGGCAGCGUGCGGGGCUGCCCUGCCCGCCGGCCGCCCUGGGGGAACCCCCGCGCCGCGCUCCCACGCGGAGCGCCGCUCCCACGCCGCGCACACGCGGAGGAAACCUCCCCUCCCCCCACCCCCUCGGCUCCCCGCCGCCGUGACCGGGCGAGCCUCGGCCCCGGGCGCUGCAGCCGCGGCCGGGAGGGCCGAUGGAGGGCCGCGGCCCUAAGCCGAGGGAAAGGUGUAAACGCGGGCCGGGGUGCGUGCGUGCACGGGAACGGGCGCGGGGCCGCUCCGCUGCGGGCACACACCCGCUGCGCCCGCGGAAUGAUGCAACGCGGCCGCCGCGCCGCGCCGUGCGGCCACCCCUCCCCCCGCAGCCGCCGCCGCCGGCGUUGUUUCCG